RNAcentral lists this long non-coding RNA (327 nucleotides) under Vigna radiata. RNAcentral's name for it is "long non-coding RNA (VRAD_LNC016020)". Lineage: Eukaryota; Viridiplantae; Streptophyta; Magnoliopsida; Fabales; Fabaceae. The record is from RNAcentral.
CGAUAUCACAAUCUCACAAAACUUCAUAUGUAUAUCAUCAACCAAAGAUUAGAAGCAAUGGAAGCACGGGGAGUCUAUGUAUAAUGACUUGUUGGGCAUAUAUUGAAUUUUAAAAAAGUGUUGGUGGAGCAAUGAGUUUAAGGGAAGUAGUUGAUGAAGUGAAGCUCUUUUACUUCGCAGUGUAGGAAGCAAAUGCAAAGCUAUUGGUCUCAUGUUAAAAUUUUAUAGGGAUUUUGUUUAGGUCAUCAACAUUAGUCUAUAUGUUUUUAAUUGGUCUGGUAGUUUUCGACCAUACUAGAUUUUUUUGGUCAAUUUGUAAUGUUAUUU